AACCCGUGGUGUGGACAAGAGUUCAAAAGAUCUUUGUAACAUUCCCAAACUUGGUAUAAGGUUUCACUCUCUUUUUGUGCAAAGUUUGAGAUUUGUCUCUUGAGGUU
Molecule: small nucleolar RNA, 107 nt
Organism: Pistacia vera
Lineage: Eukaryota; Viridiplantae; Streptophyta; Magnoliopsida; Sapindales; Anacardiaceae
Source: RefSeq, a predicted model, not a curated record